This 473-nucleotide ribosomal RNA is filed under the name uncultured bacterium. RNAcentral describes it as "bacterial SSU rRNA". It matches the Rfam family "Bacterial small subunit ribosomal RNA", at positions 335 to 800 of the family's 1533-position model. The record is from RNAcentral.
ACUCCUACGGGGGCAGCAGUGGGGAAUAUUGCACAAUGGGCGCAAGCCUGAUGCAGCCAUGCCGCGUGUAUGAAGAAGGCCUUCGGGUUGUAAAGUACUUUCAGCAGUGAGGAAGGUGGGUAUGUUAAUAGCAUAUUCAUUUGACGUUAGCUGCAGAAGAAGCACCGGCUAACUCCGUGCCAGCAGCCGCGGUAAUACGGAGGGUGCGAGCGUUAAUCGGAAUUACUGGGCGUAAAGCGCAUGCAGGUGGUUUGUUAAGUCAGAUGUGAAAGCCCGGGGCUCAACCUCGGAAUUGCAUUUGAAACUGGCAAACUAGAGUACUGUAGAGGGGGGUAGAAUUUCAGGUGUAGACGGUGAAAUGCGUAGAGAUCUGAAGGAAUACCGGUGGCGAAGGCGGCCCCCUGGACAGAUACUGACACUCAGAUGCGAAAGCUGGGGAGCAAACAGGAUUAGAUACCCUGGUAGGCUCUAGC